CCGGCUUAGUGGUGCUGUU
Molecule: non-coding RNA, 19 nt
Filed under: Arabidopsis thaliana (thale cress)
Lineage: Eukaryota; Viridiplantae; Streptophyta; Magnoliopsida; Brassicales; Brassicaceae
Source: RNAcentral